AUUUUGACUGUGCAAAGGUAGCAUAAUCAUUAGUCUUUUAAUUAAGGACUGGUAUGAAUGGUUUAACGAAAUAUUAACUGUCUCAUAAUAAUAAUAUAGAAUUUAACUUUUAAGUCAAAAGGCUUAAAUGUUAUUAGAGGACGAGAAGACCCUAUAGAGCUUAAUAUUUAUACUUUUAAAUUUUAUUUAGAUGUUUAUAAAUUUUAAAUUUAGAAAUAUUUUAUUGGGGUGAUAAGAAGAUAAAAAUAACUCUUUUAAUUAAUUAAACGUUAAUUUAUGAAUAAUUGAUCCAUUAAUAAUGAUUAAAAGAUUAAGUUACCUUAGGGAUAACAGCGUAAUGUUUUUUAAGAGUUCUUAUCAACAAAAAAGAUUGCGACCUCGAUGUUGGAUUAAGGUAAUAGUUGGG
Molecule: ribosomal RNA, 406 nt
Rfam family: Bacterial large subunit ribosomal RNA